UACCAGCACCCCGAGUGGUCGGGACGAUUAUUGGGCCUAAAGCAUCCGUAGCCGGUUCUACAAGUCUUCCGUUAAAUCCACCUGCUUAACAGAUGGGCUGCGGAGGAUACUAUAGAGCUAGGAGGCGGGAGAGGCAAGCGGUACUUAGUGGGUAGGGGUAAAAUCCGUUGAUCCCUUGAAGACCACCAGUGGCGAAGGCGGCUUGCCAGAACGCACUCGACGGUGAGGGAUGAAAGCUGGGGGAGCAAACCGG
This 253-nucleotide ribosomal RNA is filed under the name uncultured bacterium. RNAcentral describes it as "partial 16S ribosomal RNA". It matches the Rfam family "Archaeal small subunit ribosomal RNA", at positions 474 to 727 of the family's 1478-position model. The record is from RNAcentral.